AAGCCGACAGCUUGCUGUUGGUGGAUGAGUGGCGAACGGGUGAGUAACACGUGAGUAACCUGCCCCUGAUUUCGGGAUAAGCCUGGGAAACUGGGUCUAAUACCGGAUACGACCAUCUGACGCAUGUUGGGUGGUGGAAAGUUUUUCGAUCGGGGAUGGGCUCGCGGCCUAUCAGCUUGUUGGUGGGGUAAUGGCCUACCAAGGCGACGACGGGUAGCCGGCCUGAGAGGGCGACCGGCCACACUGGGACUGAGACACGGCCCAGACUCCUACGGGAGGCAGCAGUGGGGAAUAUUGCACAAUGGGGGAAACCCUGAUGCAGCGACGCAGCGUGCGGGAUGACGGCCUUCGGGUUGUAAACCGCUUUCAGCAGGGAAGAAGCGAGAGUGACGGUACCUGCAGAAGAAGUACCGGCUAACUACGUGCCAGCAGCCGCGGUAAUACGUAGGGUACGAGCGUUGUCCGGAAUUAUUGGGCGUAAAGAGCUCGUAGGUGGUUGGUCACGUCUGCUGUGGAAACGCAACGCUUAACGUUGCGCGUGCAGUGGGUACGGGCUGACUAGAGUGCAGUAGGGGAGUCUGGAAUUCCUGGUGUAGCGGUGAAAUGCGCAGAUAUCAGGAGGAACACCGGUGGCGAAGGCGGGACUCUGGGCUGUAACUGACACUGAGGAGCGAAAGCAUGGGGAGCGAACAGGAUUAGAUACCC
Molecule: ribosomal RNA, 705 nt
Filed under: Brevibacterium sp.
Lineage: Bacteria; Bacillati; Actinomycetota; Actinomycetes; Micrococcales; Brevibacteriaceae
Description: bacterial SSU rRNA
Rfam family: Bacterial small subunit ribosomal RNA
Source: RNAcentral